AGGGAGAUCCCCCACACUGGUACUGAGACACGGACCAGACUCCUACGGGAGGCAGCAGUGAGGAAUAUUGGGCAAUGGAGGCAACUCUGACCCAGCCAUGCCGCGUGAAGGAAGACGGCCCUAUGGGUUGUAAACUUCUUUUAUAGAGGAAGAAACGCAGAUACGUGUAUCUGUUCGACGGUACUCUACGAAUAAGGACCGGCUAACUCCGUGCCAGCAGCCGCGGUAAUACGGAGGGUCCAAGCGUUAUCCGGAAUCAUUGGGUUUAAAGGGUCCGUAGGCGGGCAAUUAAGUCAGAGGUGAAAGCCCACAGCUCAACUGUGGAACUGCCUUUGAUACUGGUUGCCUUGAGUUAUAGUGAAGUAGAUAGAAUAUGUAGUGUAGCGGUGAAAUGCAUAGAUAUUACAUAGAAUACCGAUUGCGAAGGCAGUCUACUAACUAUAUACUGACGCUGAUGGACGAAAGCGUGGGGAGCGAACAGGAUUAGAUACCCUGGUAGUCCACGCCGUAAACGAUGGAUACUAGUUGUUAGACUUACUUUUAGUAAGUUUAGUGACCAAGCGAAAGUGAUAAGUAUCCCACCUGGGGAGUACGGUCGCAAGAUUGAAACUCAAAGGAAUUGACGGGGGCCCGCACAAG
RNAcentral lists this ribosomal RNA (639 nucleotides) under CFB group bacterium epibiont of Rimicaris exoculata. RNAcentral describes it as "bacterial SSU rRNA". It matches the Rfam family "Bacterial small subunit ribosomal RNA", at positions 297 to 929 of the family's 1533-position model. Lineage: Bacteria; Pseudomonadati. The record is from RNAcentral.